RNAcentral lists this ribosomal RNA (586 nucleotides) under uncultured bacterium. Its description in RNAcentral is "partial 16S ribosomal RNA". It matches the Rfam family "Bacterial small subunit ribosomal RNA", at positions 355 to 1375 of the family's 1533-position model. The record is from RNAcentral.
UGGGGAAUUUUGGACAAUGGGCGAAAGCCUGAUCCAGCAAUGCCGCGUGUGUGAAGAAGGCCUUCGGGUUGUAAAGCACUUUUGUCCGGAAAGAAAUCCUUGGCUCUAAUACAGUCGGGGGAUGACGGUACCGGAAGAAUAAGCACCGGCUAACUACGUGCCAGCAGCCGCGGUAAUACGUAGGGUGCAAGCGUUAAUCGGAAUUACUGGGCGUAAAGCGUGCGCAGGCGGUUUGCUAAGACCGGUGUGAAAUCCCCGGGCUCAACCUGGGAACUGCAUUGGUGACUGGCAGGCUAGAGUAUGGCAGAGGGGGGUAGAAUUCCACGUGUAGCAGUGAAAUGCGUAGAGAUGUGGAGGAAUACCGAUGGCGAAGGCAGCCCCCUGGGCCAAUACUGACGCUCAUGCACGAAAGCGUGGGGAGCAAACAGGAUUAGAUACCCUGGUAGUCCACGCCCUAAAACGAUGUCAACCAGUUGUUGGGGAUUCAUUUCCUUAGUAACGUAGCUAACGCGUGAAGUUGACCGCCUGGGGAGUACGGUCGCAAGAUUAAAACUCAAAGGAAUUGACGGGGUCAUAGCUGUUUCCU